Non-coding RNA from Podarcis lilfordi (Lilford's wall lizard), 145 nucleotides. The record is from the annotation of a GenBank genome assembly. Lineage: Eukaryota; Metazoa; Chordata; Lepidosauria; Squamata; Lacertidae.
AACUAAGUUUGUUAUUGGUAUGAGCUUUUGUGUGAAUGCACACUUCUUCAGAUACCAAGAAUUUGAAGAAGUGUGCAUGCACACCAAGGUAUCUGAAGAAGUGUGCAUGCACACGAAAGCUCAUACCAAUAACAAACUUAGUUGG